UACGAAGGGGGCUAGCGUUGCUCGGAAUCACUGGGCGUAAAGGGCGCGUAGGCGGCCGAUCAAGUCGGGGGUGAAAGCCUGUGGCUCAACCACAGGAUUGCCUUCGAUACUGUUUGGCUAGAGACCGGAAGAGGUUAGUGGAACUGCGCGUGUAGAGGUGAAAUUCGUAGAUAUUCGCAAGAACACCAAUUGCGAAGGCGGCUAACUGGGCCGGUUCUGACGCUGAGGCGCGAAAGCGUGGGGAGCAAACAGG
RNAcentral lists this ribosomal RNA (253 nucleotides) under uncultured bacterium. RNAcentral describes it as "partial 16S ribosomal RNA". It matches the Rfam family "Bacterial small subunit ribosomal RNA", at positions 524 to 776 of the family's 1533-position model. The record is from RNAcentral.